AAGGUGGCCUACGCCACGGCCAUGGAUUGGUUCAUCGCGGUAUGCUACGCCUUU
This is a non-coding RNA of Salmo salar (Atlantic salmon), 54 nucleotides long. The record is from Rfam. Lineage: Eukaryota; Metazoa; Chordata; Actinopteri; Salmoniformes; Salmonidae.